This is a long non-coding RNA of Chelonoidis abingdonii (Abingdon island giant tortoise), 265 nucleotides long. RefSeq lists it as uncharacterized. The record is from RefSeq and is a predicted model, not a curated record. NCBI's taxonomy places the organism in Eukaryota, Metazoa, Chordata, Testudines, Testudinidae.
AGUGCACAUGCCUGCUGGUUAAAGAGCAACUGAAUACUAAACUCCAUUUGAUAUUUUUCUCAACGAUCCACCAUUCCUGUUCCAGGAACUGAGAAGCAAGUGCCUACUCCCACACUGAUAUCCUGUCCUCAAGCUGUUCAGCCAGCCUGAGCCUUCGUGCUGGCCUCUUGCCAUGCCUUUCCUCUAGCCGGCUUGUCUUCACAGUGCCUUAGUCUUCACUGGCAAGGAUGUAAAUUCUGAUGUUCACCAGCAUGUCGGACAUUGC